This 253-nucleotide ribosomal RNA is filed under the name uncultured bacterium. RNAcentral describes it as "partial 16S ribosomal RNA". It matches the Rfam family "Bacterial small subunit ribosomal RNA", at positions 524 to 776 of the family's 1533-position model. The record is from RNAcentral.
UACGUAGGGCGCAAGCGUUAUCCGGAAUUAUUGGGCGUAAAGAGCUCGUAGGCGGUUUGUCGCGUCUGCCGUGAAAGUCCGGGGCUCAACCCCGGAUCUGCGGUGGGUACGGGCAGACUAGAGUGAUGUAGGGGAGACUGGAAUUCCUGGUGUAGCGGUGGAAUGCGCAGAUAUCAGGAGGAACACCGAUGGCGAAGGCAGGUCACUGGGCCGCAACUGACGCUGAGGAGCGAAAGCAUGGGGAGCGAACAGG